Brienomyrus brachyistius is the source of this 483-nucleotide long non-coding RNA. RefSeq lists it as uncharacterized. The record is from RefSeq and is a predicted model, not a curated record. The transcript has 2 exons. Lineage: Eukaryota; Metazoa; Chordata; Actinopteri; Osteoglossiformes; Mormyridae.
CUAUCCUGACUUAGCACUUAGCAUGUUUGCGGUUCCAGGUGGUCAUCCAGUCUUUCCACUGUUACUACUGUAUAACAUCAGUCUGGAUGCUGUUCAUUAAUGAAUCUUGGCAUGACUAUGUGUAAAAGGAUAUUAUAUGGAAAUGUACUGGUGUGAAUGAGAUGACUGACUUUGGGACCCAAACAUUUAUUUAUUUAUUAAUUAAUUAUUGUUUUAAAAAUGGGCAGUAAUGCAGAGAAAAACAUUAAGCAUUCGUCAUCACUGUAUUACAAUUAAGGUCAAUUAAGAUGUACAUGCAUAUUAAGAAAAAUGAGUGAUAAAAUGUUAAGAAUUUGAUUGUGCAUGGAAAGACAAAAAUAAAAUGUAGACAAUGCACAUAUCUCAGGUUUGCAAAAAAUUUUUUUUUCAUUUAAUUUCAGCAUGAUAUUUUGAACUGAAAUGCUCACUGGCCAUCUGUGCAUAAAAUUUUAUUUCUGACUGAAA